CUCCAUCUGGGUCAGUUUUCUUUCAUCAGCUGGCCUGAGAACAUCCGAGGGUAUUCAGACUAUACUGAAAAAAAGAAAAGGAGGGGAAUAGCAAGAUAAUCGGGUAUAUCGCAGCCAUGCACCUCAAAAAUUAAGUUUUCCAACCUUCUUGCUUAAAUACAGGAAACUGCGAUUUGUCUUCCAGAAUUUUUUCAUUGCUGAGCCUCAGCUCCUCUCUGAUAUAAACUCCUUAUGUGAUCUCCAUCAAAUGCACAGCUUCAGGACAUCUAAGAUAAGAAUUAUAAACACAGAUUCUGAUACUUUGCAAAGCCUAAGGAAAACUGACCUAAACGAAAAAGGGAGGAUAUUACGUAGAUCCUGCUCUUGAAGGAGCCGCCCACAGCUUAGAAGACAGAUGAGAAGAUCAUCAUCACAGAUUUGCUGUGAACAGCUCUGCUCAGCUCUGUCCCUGCCAGACUUGGGGCCACACAUACCCUUCUAAGAGGGCUAAAGAAGAUUCACAAAGAGCACUGCUUCUUGCUCCAGCUUUGGCAAGAGCAGAGGAUGAUUUUGUCUUUCGGUAACUUGAAACCUUCCUGUAGUGCUGAGAACUGCUCUCAAUAGCAAAGUUGUUAUCAUCAUCAUUACACCUAACAUUUACUGAGCAUUUACUACGUGCCAGGCACCAAUUGCUUUGCAUCUCAUCUUAUCUUCACAGUAAUCCCAUGAGUAAUAUAAUUACCCAAAUUUCAUGGAAGAAGAAAGCGAGGCCAAAAUUUGCCCAUGGUUACAAAAAAAUGAAUUAUCAUUCAUCUUUUUCAAGAGGAGAAUAUUAUAAAUUUACUAUGCUACUCAUAAAUGCCUUUCUGCCAGAUUAAUAGAAAACCUUUAGACGCUGGACUUGUAACUUAUUCUGGGAUAUGGUCUUCCACAAACAAUUGGAGUCAUCAGUGUUCAGUGGAACAUCCUUUCAGUUGCAUGAAGAUGCCAAACUAGAGGAAAGAGGACACACCAUGUGAUUUCCCAAGGGCCAUCGUUUCCCAAGGGAUGGUUGUGACUGAGGGGACACAAAAACAAACAGUCUAAAACCAACAGAUAUUCCUGUCUAAAUUAUCUUUUUAUAGCACAGCAUAGCUGUAUUCAAUAUAAAACAAGGAGAGUGAUAACUGUGAAUUACAAAGCAGAAUUUUAAUCAUGAUACAUGAGUUAAUAAUACACAUGAGUUAAACUCAUGAUACAUGGAUUAAAGAAAAUAAGUGGAACCCGUUUUCAUAUUUUAUUGUCAAAAGUUUUACCAAAUAGGUGGUUUAUUUGGAAAAGUAGCACCUCUUUGAAAUUAACUCUUGAUUUGUAAAAGUUCAGAUUGUUCCUAUCUACUUGGUCAACUAAAAGUGAUUAUUUUUAUUGCUAUAAGGCAUGCAUGUUGGUCUUUGAGAAAUAUGCCACUAAUCAUGGUUAAAUUGUAUAGGCUCAAAAAUCUUUUAAGACCUGCAAGAAAAAAAACAAAAUCCAAAAAUGUUGUAAAAUUAUUUAUUAGUCUAUAAAAAGUUGUGUGGACUUUCUACAAAACCAGCAAUUGGAAAAUGACAAAAUUGUUAUUUUAUCCCUAGAGAAUCUUUACACAUUUACCUCAAAGGGAGGAAUAGAGUCAAUUACUUCUAUUUCAAAUAGAUACCCCCUUUGACAAGUAUGCAAAUCAUACUGGAACUAUACAUCUGAGCUUUUUAAUUGUGACAACUCUGAGAUACUACUUGGUAAAGAAAAUUGUGCUAUUACCUCUCCAGUCUGUUCUCAAAGGGAAUAACACUCAUGUUUCCGAGGCAGAGAGAGCACCAAGAGGUGAGGUUCUGUCCACUCCUGCUGUGGACUGAAUUGUGUUCCUCCCUCCACCCACCAAUUUAUAUGUUGAAGCCCUAAUCACCAAUGUGAGUAUAUCUGGAGAUGGAGCCUUCAAGAAGGUGAUUAAAGUUAAAAGAGGUCAUAAGGGUCCAGCCCUAAGCCAGUAGAACUGUUGCUCUUUCAAGAAGAGGAAGAGACAUCAGAGCUGUUUCUCUGCUAUUUAAGGACAUUUUGAGAAGGCAGUCAUCUGCAAACCAGGAAAACAGCUGUCACCAGAGUCCAACCAUGCUGGCAACCUGAUCUUGGACAUCCAGCCUCCAGAACUGUGAGAAAUACAUUUCUGCUGUGUAAGUCACCCAGUCUAUAGUAUUUUGAUAUGGCAGCCCAAGCUAACAUAACCCCUUAAGUAACCUAACCAAAAAUUAUUAUUAUUUUUUCAGCAAAUAAGGAGAAAGAAAAAAUGUUUUAUAAGAUUUUAAUUUUUGUAGUGUUUCCUGGGUGGGUCAGGCAGUUAAGCAUCCAAAUCUUGAUCUCAGCUCAGGUCUUGAUCUCAGGGCCCUGACUUCAAGCUCUGAAUUGAGCUGCAUGCUGGACAUGGAAUCUACUAUUUAAAAAAAAACGAUUGUAAUUUUUAUAAGAAAAAAUGUGAAUAAAACCAUCUUUGAAAAUUGA
Molecule: long non-coding RNA, 2490 nt
Organism: Neofelis nebulosa (Clouded leopard)
Lineage: Eukaryota; Metazoa; Chordata; Mammalia; Carnivora; Felidae
Exons: 8
Source: RefSeq, a predicted model, not a curated record